ACUCCUACGGGAGGCAGCAGUGGGGAAUUUUACGCAAUGGGGGAAACCCUGACGUAGCGACACCGCGUGAGCGAAGAAGCCCUUUGGGGUGUAAAGCUCUGUCAGCUGGAACGAAAACAAUGACGGUACCAGCAGAGGAAGCAUCGGCUAACUACGUGCCAGCAGCCGCGGUAAGACGUAGGAUGCGAGCGUUGUCCGGAUUUAUUGGGCGUAAAGAGUUCGUAGGUGGUUUGUUAAGUUUGGUGUUAAAGAUCGGGGCUCAACCCUGGGACUGCACUGAAUACUGGCAGACUCGAGUGUGGUAGAGGCUAGUGGAAUUCCCAGUGUAGCGGUGAAAUGCGUAGAUAUUGGGAAGAACACCGGUGGCGUAGGCGACUAGCUGGGCCAUAACUGACGCUGAGGAACGAAAGCCAGGGGAGCGAAUGGGAUUAGAAACCCGAGUAGUCCCAUG
This 451-nucleotide ribosomal RNA is filed under the name uncultured organism. RNAcentral's name for it is "partial 16S ribosomal RNA". It matches the Rfam family "Bacterial small subunit ribosomal RNA", at positions 335 to 799 of the family's 1533-position model. The record is from RNAcentral.